CCUCAGCUGCAGUCUAAACAGACACUGUGACAGAAGCCCAAAUACGGGUUACUUCCUUAAGGGGCUGGGUGUGGUGUGAACUGGGAAGGGGCAAGAGGACGACUUCCGGGCCCUGGGAGUGUGUUAGACUUAGCAGUUGCAUAAGUAUUUAUAUCUGUGAAUAAUUAAUGAGCUGUACACUCAUGUCCUUUGUGAGGAGUGGAAAUUUGCUAGAGAGAAGGAAUGUGCACAGGCCCUGGGUCAUAGCAGCAGUGUGCUGUGGAGACAUCCAGAUACGUGCAUGUUCCUAGUGCUUCUCACAGUCCUUGGGUUCGCAAGUACUGGCCACACUGCAGAAGCCACGGCCUCACUGACCCUUCCAGCGACACCACGGACUUCACUGCAGUGUCCUUCUCUGCCAGUGUCCUGCCCACCCACGGCGUGACUCUGCCACCUUGCUGCAGAAGGACUGUGGUGGGAAAGGCUCCUAGAUUGGCAUCUGCAGUUGGAAACCUGUCACCAGCCAGCUGUGUGUCUCUGGGCAAGGCUCAGGCUCAGGCUAAAGGAGAGAUGCAGCUUAUCUUUUGAUGGCCUGGUGCUCCGGAGGCCUGGUUGGUGGCUUCACUUCACAGAUCCAGCCUGACACUAAACAAAGCCUUCACUCCGGCCACCUGAAGGAUGUGCCCAUGACUACAGACCUGGCCAAAGCUGCCCUGACACACCCCAGCGCCUUCAGCCCUGCCUCCCAUGUGGCCUCAGCUUCCCCCCUUAGGCUCUCCUAGCUUUCUUCACCUCUUAGUCCCCUCAUGGUCCUUGGUUAGAGAACUCUAGAGUGUCUCAUACUGUAGUACAAGCUGGCCUGGAGCUUUCUGUGUAGACCAGGCUGACUGACGCUGAUAUCAUGGUAGUACACCUGCCUCUGCCUCCCAAGUACUACCAGUACAGAUGGGUGGUGCCAUGCCUGGCUCAGGCUGAGAACAAAUUUUGGUGGACAUUGUACUGUAUUGGAGGCAAAUGAAUAACUAAAAUUGUACUCCUGUCUCCCUCACUGUGUGUCUUUCCUCUCUCUAAUUUUGUAAUUCAGCCUUCAAGAAAGAAAGAA
This is a long non-coding RNA of Psammomys obesus (fat sand rat), 1081 nucleotides long. RefSeq lists it as uncharacterized. The record is from RefSeq and is a predicted model, not a curated record. NCBI's taxonomy places the organism in Eukaryota, Metazoa, Chordata, Mammalia, Rodentia, Muridae. The transcript has 3 exons.